GGUAGUAUGGCUGNAACAGCGAUAAACUGUAAAUUUAUUAAUAAGGCAUCGCCUUUACUGCCA
RNAcentral lists this transfer RNA (63 nucleotides) under Rhinophis phillipsi (Phillipps' earth snake). RNAcentral's name for it is "partial tRNA-Tyr". Lineage: Eukaryota; Metazoa; Chordata; Lepidosauria; Squamata; Uropeltidae. The record is from RNAcentral.